AAUAUUUCAGACAGUAUGCUACUGAGGGCAGCUAACAUAAGAGUUAUGAGUUAUAAGAUGUAAUCUAAGUCGUAACAUUGCUGUAUGGAGCUGCAGAUUUGGUUGCAGGUUAACAUAGCUGGACUGGCCAUCGGGCAUAUCCCCAGUGACUUAUUUUUUAUUUUUUUUGUAAUGGCAUGAACAAUGAGAGGUGGUGGAUUGGCCAGAUGCAGGUCGAUGUGUAGCAAUAACUCCGUUGUUUGGUGGUGGCUAUGACGGGGCUUCCACAGAGGCAACAGGUGGAUGAGGGAAGGGGAGGCAGGAGGAGAGCCCCGAAGCAGCCACCAGUCCGAGUGUCAGGUGAACUGAACUUCAGCUCACUCUAUGUUCAUGACAUAGCAUCACCUCCUGUCUAGAAGGCUGUUUGCGUGUCGAGGAGCCUGUGCCUUCACCAGGGAAGUCUCAAAUGUCCCAGGAAUGGGUGGACCAAAGACCAGCUUUCCAGAGUCAUUAUUUUGUUUUAGGGGUUUUUUUUUCUCAUUUUGUUAGACAUGGCACAGUUGAAAGUAAAAGAAGACCACUCUAAUUUGUCAUUUGUUGUCAUAUUUUGAUAUAUUUGAUUACUUUUUAUUGGUUAUAUUAUAUCGGGUAAAAAUCACCCGGC
This is a long non-coding RNA of Astatotilapia calliptera (eastern happy), 643 nucleotides long. NCBI's taxonomy places the organism in Eukaryota, Metazoa, Chordata, Actinopteri, Cichliformes, Cichlidae. The record is from Ensembl.